UGGAAGCGUGGCAGAGCGGUUUAAUGCAACGGUCUUGAAAACCGUCGAGGGUUGAUAGCCCUCCGUGAGUUCGAAUCUCACCGCUUCCGCCAU
RNAcentral lists this transfer RNA (93 nucleotides) under Neisseria flavescens SK114. Its description in RNAcentral is "tRNA-Ser". It matches the Rfam family "tRNA". Rfam says of the family: Transfer RNA (tRNA) molecules are approximately 80 nucleotides in length. Their secondary structure includes four short double-helical elements and three loops (D, anti-codon, and T loops). Lineage: Bacteria; Pseudomonadati; Pseudomonadota; Betaproteobacteria; Neisseriales; Neisseriaceae. The record is from RNAcentral.